RNAcentral lists this ribosomal RNA (884 nucleotides) under uncultured fungus. RNAcentral's name for it is "eukaryotic LSU rRNA". The stretch from base 438 to 591 matches the Rfam family "5.8S ribosomal RNA". The record is from RNAcentral. Lineage: Eukaryota; Fungi.
UCUUGGUCAUUUAGAGGAAGUAAAAGUCGUAACAAGGUUUCCGUAGGUGAACCUGCGGAAGGAUCAUUAAAGAAAUUUAAUAAUUUUGAAAAUGGAUUUUUUUUUUUUGUUUUGGCAAGAGCAUGAGAGCUUUUACUGGGCAAGAAGACAAGAGAUGGAGAGUCCAGCCGGGCCUGCGCUUAAGUGCGCGGUCUUGCUAGGCUUGUAAGUUUCUUUCUUGCUAUUCCAAACGGUGAGAGAUUUCUGUGCUUUUGUUAUAGGACAAUUAAAACCGUUUCAAUACAACACACUGUGGAGUUUUCAUAUCUUUGCAACUUUUUCUUUGGGCAUUCGAGCAAUCGGGGCCCAGAGGUUAACAAACACAAACAAUUUUAUCUAUUCAUUAAAUUUUUGUCAAAAACAAGAAUUUUCGUAACUGGAAAUUUUAAAAUAUUAAAAACUUUCAACAACGGAUCUCUUGGUUCUCGCAUCGAUGAAGAACGCAGCGAAAUGCGAUACGUAAUGUGAAUUGCAGAAUUCCGUGAAUCAUCGAAUCUUUGAACGCACAUUGCGCCCCUUGGUAUUCCAGGGGGCAUGCCUGUUUGAGCGUCAUUUCCUUCUCAAACAUUCUGUUUGGUAGUGAGUGAUACUCUUUGGAGUUAACUUGAAAUUGCUGGCCUUUUCAUUGGAUGUUUUUUUUUCCAAAGAGAGGUUUCUCUGCGUGCUUGAGGUAUAAUGCAAGUACGGUCGUUUUAGGUUUUACCAACUGCGGCUAAUCUUUUUUAUACUGAGCGUAUUGGAACGUUAUCGAUAAGAAGAGAGCGUCUAGGCGAACAAUGUUCUUAAAGUUUGACCUCAAAUCAGGUAGGAGUACCCGCUGAACUUAAGCAUAUCAAUAAGCGGAG